GUGGCGAACGGGUGAGUAACACGUGGGCAAUCUGCCCUUCACUCUGGGACAAGCCCUGGAAACGGGGUCUAAUACCGGAUAACACUCUGUCCCGCAUGGGACGGGGUUAAAAGCUCCGGCGGUGAAGGAUGAGCCCGCGGCCUAUCAGCUUGUUGGUGGGGUAAUGGCCUACCAAGGCGACGACGGGUAGCCGGCCUGAGAGGGCGACCGGCCACACUGGGACUGAGACACGGCCCAGACUCCUACGGGAGGCAGCAGUGGGGAAUAUUGCACAAUGGGCGAAAGCCUGAUGCAGCGACGCCGCGUGAGGGAUGACGGCCUUCGGGUUGUAAACCUCUUUCAGCAGGGAAGAAGCGAAAGUGACGGUACCUGCAGAAGAAGCGCCGGCUAACUACGUGCCAGCAGCCGCGGUAAUACGUAGGGCGCAAGCGUUGUCCGGAAUUAUUGGGCGUAAAGAGCUCGUAGGCGGCUUGUCACGUCGGAUGUGAAAGCCCGGGGCUUAACCCCGGGUCUGCAUUCGAUACGGGCUAGCUAGAGUGUGGUAGGGGAGAUCGGAAUUCCUGGUGUAGCGGUGAAAUGCGCAGAUAUCAGGAGGAACACCGGUGGCGAAGGCGGAUCUCUGGGCCAUUACUGACGCUGAGGAGCGAAAGCGUGGGGAGCGAACAGGAUUAGAUACCCUGGUAGUCCACGCCGUAAACGUUGGGAACUAGGUGUUGGCGACAUUCCACGUCGUCGGUGCCGCAGCUAACGCA
This 752-nucleotide ribosomal RNA is filed under the name Streptomycetaceae bacterium. Its description in RNAcentral is "bacterial SSU rRNA". It matches the Rfam family "Bacterial small subunit ribosomal RNA", at positions 95 to 859 of the family's 1533-position model. Lineage: Bacteria; Bacillati; Actinomycetota; Actinomycetes; Kitasatosporales; Streptomycetaceae. The record is from RNAcentral.